This 74-nucleotide transfer RNA is filed under the name Deltaproteobacteria bacterium CG_4_9_14_3_um_filter_63_12. RNAcentral's name for it is "tRNA-Asn". It matches the Rfam family "tRNA". From Rfam's summary of the family: Transfer RNA (tRNA) molecules are approximately 80 nucleotides in length. Their secondary structure includes four short double-helical elements and three loops (D, anti-codon, and T loops). Further hydrogen bonds mediate the characteristic L-shaped molecular structure. tRNAs have two regions of fundamental functional importance: the anti-codon, which is responsible for specific mRNA codon recognition, and the 3' end, to which the tRNAs corresponding amino acid is attached (by aminoacyl-tRNA synthetases). tRNAs cope with the degeneracy of the genetic code in two manners: having more than one tRNA (with a specific anti-codon) for a particular amino acid; and 'wobble' base-pairing, i.e. permitting non-standard base-pairing at the 3rd anti-codon position. The record is from RNAcentral. Lineage: Bacteria; Deltaproteobacteria.
UCCGAAGUAGCUCAGUCGGUUAGAGCGGGUGGCUGUUAACCACUAGGUCGUAGGUUCGAAUCCUACCUUCGGAG